GACGAACGCUGGCGGCGUGCUUAACACAUGCAAGUCGAACGGAAAGGCCCGGCUUUUGUGGGGUGCUCGAUUGGCGAAGGGGUGAGUAACACGUGAGUAACCUGCCCUUGACUUUGGGAUAACUUCAGGAAACUGGGGCUAAUACCGGAUAUGAUCUCCUGCUGCAUGGUGGGGGUUGGAAAGUUUCGGCGGUUGGGGAUGGACUCGCGGCUUAUCAGCUUGUUGGUGGGGUAGUGGCUUACCAAGGCUUUGACGGGUAGCCGGCCUGAGAGGGUGACCGGCCACCUUGCGACUGAGGUACGGCCCAGACUCCUACCGGCGGCAGCAGUCGGAAAUAUUGCACAAUGGGGGGACGCCUGAUGCAGCAACGCCGCGUGCGGGAUGACCGCCUUCGGGUUAUAAACCGCUUUCGCAUGUGACGAAGAGUGAGUGACGGUAAUGGGUAAAGAAGCAACGGCUAACUACGUG
This 468-nucleotide ribosomal RNA is filed under the name uncultured bacterium. RNAcentral describes it as "partial 16S ribosomal RNA". It matches the Rfam family "Bacterial small subunit ribosomal RNA", at positions 28 to 507 of the family's 1533-position model. The record is from RNAcentral.